UGCGAGUGAAGCGGGAAAAGCUCAAAUUUAAAAUCUGGCAGUCUUUGGCUGUCCGAGUUGUAAUCUAGAGAAGUAUUAUCCGCGCUGGACCGUGUACAAGUCUCCUGGAAUGGGGCGUCAUAGAGGGUGAGAAUCCCGUCUUUGACACGGACUGCCAGGGCUUUGUGAUAUGCUCUCAAAGAGUCGAGUUGUUUGGGAAUGCAGCUCAAAAUGGGUGGUAAAUUCCAUCUAAAGCUAAAUAUUGGCGAGAGACCGAUAGCGAACAAGUACCGUGAGGGAAAGAUGAAAAGAACUUUGGAAAGAGAGUUAAACAGUACGUGAAAUUGCUGAAAGGGAAACGCUUGAAGUCAGUCGCGUUGGCCAGGGAUCAACCUUGCUUUUUUGCUUGGCUUACUUUCUGGUUGAUGGGUCAGCAUCAAUUUUGACUGGUGGAAAAAGUUCAAGGGAAUGUGGCAUCUUCGGAUGUGUUAUAGCCUUUGUUCACAUACAUUGGUUGGGAUUGAGGAACUCAGCACGCCGCAAGGCCGGGUUUUUAACCACGUACGUGCUUAGGAUGCUGGCAUAAUGGCUUUAAUCGACCCGUCUUGAAACACGGACCAAGGAGUCUAACAUGCCUGCGAGUAUUUGGGUGAAAAACCCGAGUGCGUAAUGAAAGUGAAAGUUGAGAUCCCUGUCGUGGGGAGCAUUGACGCCCGGAUCUGACCUUUUGUGACGAUUCUGCGGUAGAGCAUGUAUGUUGGGACCCGAAAGAUGGUGAACUAUGCCUGAAUAGGGUGAAGCCAGAGGAAACUCUGGUGGAGGCUCGUAGCGAUUCUGACGUGCAAAUCGAUCGUCAAAUUUGGGUAUAGGGGCGAAA
RNAcentral lists this ribosomal RNA (856 nucleotides) under Laccaria araneosa. RNAcentral describes it as "LSU rRNA". It matches the Rfam family "Eukaryotic large subunit ribosomal RNA", at positions 88 to 928 of the family's 3401-position model. The record is from RNAcentral. Lineage: Eukaryota; Fungi; Basidiomycota; Agaricomycetes; Agaricales; Hydnangiaceae.